AGGAAGGUAGGGGAGAAUGGAAUUCCUGGUGGAGCGGUGGAAUGCGCAGAUAUCAGGAGGAACACCAGUGGCGAAGGCGGUUCUCUGGGCCUUUCCUGACGCUGAGGAGCGAAGGCGUGGGGAGCGAACAGGCUUAGAUACCCUGGUAGUCCACGCUGUAAACGGUGGGUACUAGGUGUGGGGUCCAUUCCACGGGUUCCGUGCCGUAGCUAACGCUUUAAGUACCCCGCCUGGGGAGUACGGCCGCAAGGCUAAAACUCAAAGGAAUUGACGGGGCCCCGCACAAGCGGCGGAGCAUGCGGAUUAAUUCGAUGCAACGCGUAGAACCUUACCUGGGUUUGACAUGGAUCGGGAGUGCUCAGAGAUGGGUGUGCCUCUUUUGGGGUCGGUUCACAGGUGGUGCAUGGCUGUCGUCAGCUCGUGUCGUGAGAUGUUGGGUUAAGUCCCGCAACGAGCGCAACCCUUGUUCACUGUUGCCAGCACGUUAUGGUGGGGACUCAGUGGAGACCGCCGGGGUCAACUCGGAGGAAGGUGGGGAUGACGUCAAGUCAUCAUGCCCCUUAUGUCCAGGGCUUCACGCAUGCUACAAUGGCUGGUACAGAGAGUGGCGAGCCUGUGAGGGUGAGCGAAUCUCGGAAAGCCGGUCUCAGUUCGGAUUGGGGUCUGCAACUCGACCUCAUGAAGUCGGAGUCGCUAGUAAUCGCAGAUCAGCAACGCUGCGGUGAAUACGUUCCCGGGGCUUGUACACACCGCCCGUCAAGUCAUGAAAGUUGGUAACACCCGAAGCCGGUGGCCUAACCGUUGUGGGGGAGCCGUCGAAGGUGGGACUGGUGAUUAG
This 838-nucleotide ribosomal RNA is filed under the name uncultured organism. Its description in RNAcentral is "SSU rRNA". It matches the Rfam family "Bacterial small subunit ribosomal RNA", at positions 645 to 1478 of the family's 1533-position model. The record is from RNAcentral.